RNAcentral lists this ribosomal RNA (620 nucleotides) under uncultured bacterium. Its description in RNAcentral is "bacterial SSU rRNA". It matches the Rfam family "Bacterial small subunit ribosomal RNA", at positions 242 to 852 of the family's 1533-position model. The record is from RNAcentral.
UAGCUAGUUGGUGGGAUAAAAGCUUACCAAGGCAACGAUGCGUAGCCGACCUGAGAGGGUGAUCGGCCACACUGGGACUGAGACACGGCCCAGACUCCUACGGGAGGCAGCAGUAGGGAAUCUUCCGCAAUGGACGAAAGUCUGACGGAGCAAUGCCGCGUGAGUGAUGAAGGUCUUCGGAUCGUAAAACUCUGUUGUUAGGGAAGAACAAGUAUCGUUCAAAUAGGUCGGUACCUUGACGGUACCUAACCAGAAAGCCCCGGCUAACUACGUGCCAGCAGCCGCGGUAAUACGUAGGGGGCGAGCGUUGUCCGGAAUUAUUGGGCGUAAAGCGCGCGCAGGCGGUCUUCUAAGUCUGAUGUGAAAGCCUACGGCUUAACCGUGGAGGGUCAUUGGAAACUGGAGGACUUGAGGACAGAAGAGGAGAGUGGAAUUCCACGUGUAGCGGUGAAAUGCGUAGAUAUGUGGAGGAACACCAGUGGCGAAGGCGACUCUCUGGUCUGUUUCUGACGCUGAGGUGCGAAAGCGUGGGUAGCGAACAGGAUUAGAUACCCUGGUAGUCCACGCCGUAAACGAUGAGUGCUAGGUGUCAGGGGGUUUCCGCCCCUUGGUGCUGCAGU